UAGGGAAUAUUGGGCAAUGGAGGCAACUCUGACCCAGCCAUGCCGCGUGUAGGAAGAAGGCGUUCUGCGUUGUAAACUACUUUUAUCGGGGAAGAAACGUCAUCUUGCGAGGUGAUUUGACGGUACUCGAGGAAUAAGCACCGGCUAACUCCGUGCCAGCAGCCGCGGUAAUACGGAGGGUGCAAGCGUUGUCCGGAUUUAUUGGGUUUAAAGGGUGCGUAGGUGGUUUGAUAAGUCUGACCUGAAAGUGGGCCGCUUAACGGCACAGGGUGGUUGGAUACUGUCGAACUUGAAUUAGGCGGAGGUUGCCGGAACGGAUGGUGUAGCGGUGAAAUGCAUAGAGAUCAUCCAGAACGCCAAUUGCGUAGGCAGGUGGCUACGCCUAUAUUGACACUGAGGCACGAAAGCAUGGGGAGCAAACAGG
This 424-nucleotide ribosomal RNA is filed under the name uncultured bacterium. RNAcentral describes it as "bacterial SSU rRNA". It matches the Rfam family "Bacterial small subunit ribosomal RNA", at positions 355 to 776 of the family's 1533-position model. The record is from RNAcentral.